AAAGAAGAGAAGAAGAAAAAAAAAAAAGAAAAACGGAAAAGAAGAACGAGAAACAACGAGAAGCCGAUUUAGUCUGUGAGAAAAAGGGAGAAAACGAGAGGUGGCCAGCCCGUUUUUUCGUCGUCGUGAAUUCUCUACUUCUCGUCGCACGUCGUUGUCGUCGUCGUUUUCGACGUCGUCCUCGCCGUCCUCGUAAUCCUCGUCGUCUACGUGCUACGUCUACGCCGUCUACGUUUACGUCGUCGUCUACGUCGUCUACGUCGUCAUCCUCCUCGUUGUCACCGUCUCCGCUCACGCCGUCGUCGUAGUCGUGAUCCGGCUCGACGCGACCAACGCGGAUCACGCACAGUAUACAUACGGUUGUUCGUCGAAAUCGUGGUUCGGGAUCGAGAGGAAAACAAAAAUACGGGGAACGAGAGAAAGAAGGAGGAAGGAGGACGAGAGAGAGGGAAACAUAGUGUGUGCGAGCCGUGAAACGUACCGCGCACGUACGUUUCGUUCCACGUUCCCACCGUCCCUGCACAGUCGUAUAAUUUAUCGCGCGACGAGCAGAAGCGCAAAAUCCCGAGGCGGACCUUCCGAAAACGACGGGAGCACCGCGCACAUCGGGUGUGCUACCAGGGAAACAGAGAGAGAUAGGUGAACAACAGGGAGGAGGAGGAGGAGGAGGAGGAGGAGGUGGAGGAGGAGGAGGAGAAGGAAGGAGCGCGAAGGUUAAAGAGGCGCGGAGUAAACGUAACAAAACGGAAGAGGGUCUGGGAGAGGAUCAACGAGAGGUAGAAGCCGCGCGUGGUGAUAAGUCGCGCGUGAAAGUGCGUGUCGUGCCGUGCCGUGACAUCGGGAGCCGUUGACACGCGAAGGAUCGAGUCGAGUCGAGGUGUUUUUCGACGAAGGGGCGAACGCAGGGAGAAGAUCAGAUUCAGGUGACGACGUGGUGUUCAGCGAGAGAAGCGAGGCGGGUAUCGGCCAGAUUGCCGGCUGCCAUUGCCACUGGUACUAGUGUUACCAUAGCCACUGCAACCCCGGACACGCGAGAGCGUUGUCAUAACGACAAGCCGUGCGCCGCGCGUCGCUAUGGAGGCCCAGAACCAGGAAAUCGUUGCGAGCGGUUCGCCAGCCGAGGUGCCGAACGAUCCAGGGAAAAUGUUCAUCGGUGGUCUAUCAUGGCAGACCAGUCCAGAGAGCCUAAGGGAGUACUUCACCAAGUAUGGGGACAUCACAGAAGUCAUGGUCAUGAAAGAUCCCACCACGCGACGAUCAAGGGGCUUCGGAUUCAUCACGUUCGCAGAUCCCGCGAGCGUGGACAAAGUGCUGGCACAGGGUAAUCACGAGUUGGACGGCAAGAAAAUCGACCCGAAGGUAGCGUUUCCCAGGAGAACACAUCCAAAGAUGGUGACAAGGACAAAGAAGAUAUUCGUCGGUGGACUAUCGGCACCGACGACGCUGGAGGACGUGAAAAACUACUUCGAGCAGUUCGGCCCGAUCGAGGACGCCAUGCUGAUGUUCGACAAACAGACCAACAGGCACAGAGGUUUUGGCUUCGUCACGUUUCAAAGUGAGGAUGUGGUCGACAAAGUCUGCGAGAUUCAUUUCCACGAAAUCAACAACAAAAUGGUCGAAUGCAAGAAAGCACAGCCGAAGGAAGUGAUGCUCCCGGCGAACCUGGCGAAGACGCGAGCGGCCAACAGAGGCGCAUACGAUUUUAUGUGGUCCCUGGGAGCAUUACCUGAUGGUUUCCCAGCGGCGGCGUACGCGGCAUACGCGGCAAGCCGCGGCUAUUCUGGGUACCCUAGUUUCGGACUGCCCUACCCGACAGGAGUGCCGGCAGUGUACUACCACGGAACCGGAAGCGAGAACGCAAGCCGCGCGUAUACGGAGACACCGAUGCAACACGUCCAACGGACUGCGCUCCGGAAGAAAUGUAUGAGUGGAUCUUACCAACGGACAGCUCACCCCCAACAACAACACGCCCUUGCUCACGCAAGCUCUUUCUGUGAUGAACAACUACCAGGCGGCCGCAGCGCAGGCCGGAUUUCCGCCGGCGUCGCCGCACGCGGCCGGUGGACAUGGUGGGCCACAGGGCCGGUCAUUUCCUGCGGCCAACUCGCCGGGCCCCAUCGACAUGUAUAGUUCAAGCGCCGCAGCCGCAGCAGCAGCCGCAGCCGCGGACUCAGCAGUCGCCAGCUACGUCCAGGCCGCAGCUAGUCCGCAACCCCCUACGACCGCGUUCCCUGCGAUCGCCGUGUCUCGUGCCCCGCUCAACUACAGUCCCGGUCCUCUAAUACCAGCGGCGUUCACUAAUGGCUACCAUUGAGCCUUGUUAAGACCUAAUAACAGGAUGGACGAGAGGGCAGAGCGCAGCACGGUCGACUGACGGUACAAUGAGCGGUGUAAAUGCCUUGGAAAAAUUCACCAUGAUGAAUGAUCUCUGGACGGAAGAGGACGCGUACCAUCAUGAGCAAUAAAACGAAGAAUCGCGAUUUAGGUAGAAGAAUAACGUUUCCAACAAAAGGAGGCUUUUCGAUUUUGUAAACAUGAUCGAUCGAUUGCAACGAUCGAACGAAAAUAAUCGUGAUUUCCCAGCGGAGAAGAAAGGAAGAGAAUCAAAAUUGAAGAUAUUAGAAAAAAAAAAUCAAGUAAACUAAGAAAUGUAAAAAAAAAAAAAUAAAAAAAAUAAAAAAUAAAUUAAAAAUCAUUGAAAAGAUAAAAAUACGAAAAAAAAAAAAAUAAUAGAAUUUAUAAAUCGCGAUACACGUCCAGAAAGUUUGCGAGAGAGAAGCAACAUGGUAGAGGAAAAGACAAGCGGAUAAAUAAUAAGGAAAACGUAAAGGGCAGAUACUGCGUAAUGGUAGAUUUGGCCGAAACUGCGUAACAAUGCCCGUUCUCCGACAUUAAUAAAGAAUAAUAUAUUAAUAAUAAUGAAUUAAAUUAAUAUUAUUAAUUGCUAAAUAAUUAAGCGACUAAGUCUAGAAUAUAUAAAUAUUAUAUAUAUAAAUAUAUGAAUAUAUAUAAAUAUAUAUAUAUAUAUAUAUAAAUAAUUGAUAAAUAUUAGACGAUAACGUAUGGAUCCUUAGUAUUUAAGGCAGACGAUAAAGUCGCGGAAGAAUACCAACUUACAUACGAAAAUAUUAUUAUAAUUACUGGUUAUUAUUGUAUAACACUAUGGCGAUUCUAAUUGAUUAUAACAAAAUGGAGAAAGAAGGAUGGAAAGCUGUGCGUCGUGUAAGCUCGCGCGCGUAGCCGUGCGCGUUAUACAUAUAUAUAUAAAUAUAUAAAUAUAAAUAUAAAUAUAAAUACAAAAAUACAAAUAUAAAUAUAAAUAUAAAUACAAAUAUAAAUAUAAAUAUAAAUAAUAAAAAAAUAUAAUUAUUAUAUACAUUUACGCGUAACUCCGUUCGCACCCGGGAAGAGAACCCGUCGUCUCUCUGUUGGGCUUUCGAAUUUUUUUUUCUAGACAAGUAGCGGCGGAAUGAAGAGAGAGAGAGAGAAAGAGAGAGAGAGAGAGAGCGAGAGAAGAGAAAGAGAAAAGAGAGAAGAACAAAAAAAAAAAAAUAAAUAAAAUAAAAUUAAAAUAAAAUAAAAUAAAAUAAAAAAGAAAUGUACAAGAAAUUUUGAGUCGACGUCAAGGAGGAGCACCCGACACGAAUGUUUGAAGGGUAGUGUCGGGCCGGAAGGGAGAUUUGGGAGACGAGACGACGAGGGCGCUAGGCAGGCCAAGAGUGGGCUUCGCCCUUUUCCUUUGUUUCUUGCGCGCGCGUGUCCGCCACUUCUCAGCGUGCUCUUUGCCGACUGAAUGCCGGAAUGGCACUUCUCUCUCGCGUCCCGUCGUUGAAGCACUUUUUUCCUUUUCCCGGGUGUGCAACGAGGGAGAAAAGAGGACGAAUAAAGCAUGGAAAGAGCAAGGAGAGGGAGGUUGCGUACAUAGACGUAGGCACGCGUGUUACACGGAUGACGUGACGCUGUUUGCAUUGCUUAUCGUGCGAGGGAUGAAAAGGAAAAAAGAAAAAAAAAAAAAAAAAAAAGAAGAGAAACGCGGGGCCUCGAGCCAAGAUCGACGGAUUGGAACUCGCGAGGCUUUAUGUAAGUUAUAGUAGCGAAAAGAGAGAGAGAGAGAGAGAGA
This 4120-nucleotide unclassified non-coding RNA is filed under the name Apis florea (little honeybee). RNAcentral's name for it is "rNA-binding protein Musashi homolog Rbp6, transcript variant X16". Lineage: Eukaryota; Metazoa; Arthropoda; Insecta; Hymenoptera; Apidae. The record is from RNAcentral.